Molecule: long non-coding RNA, 1386 nt
Organism: Lemur catta (Ring-tailed lemur)
Lineage: Eukaryota; Metazoa; Chordata; Mammalia; Primates; Lemuridae
Exons: 7
Source: RefSeq, a predicted model, not a curated record
GAUCCUCCUGCCUCAGCCUCCUGAGAGGCUGGGACUACAGGUCAUCUCAACCACCCUCGGGCUUCAAGCAGUGAGGCUGUGCAUCCUCCUGCCCGUGGCUGUCCUCCCUGGCCAUCCUGUGGACCACCAGUUCAGUAUUUCCAGUGUCACCAUCAUCAUUUUGGCCCACAGACCUGCCCCUCAACUGUCUUCAUCAAAUUUCGUCCGGAGCCAGCCCUGCUUUCCAGAGUCUUCAACUUACCUGCUCAUCCUCCCCUGUGUGCCCUGUUUGCCUGGAAGUCCAGAUGACUGCAGUAGAGAUGGCCACGUGAGACUUCCGGAUCGCUGUGCCUGUGAGAGAUGCGUCCUAUCUGCGCAGACAGAGAGAGCUUCAUAGCAAGAGCACCAGCUUCAGAAGAGGCCGCACAAUGAUUGUGGGGAUCAAGACCAAAAGAAGAACACGCUACAGUCAGAUGGUGCCCACACCUGGGGUUCAAAGAAGACUCAGGAUUCCCUGAAGGAGUAGCCCAACGUCAGCACCAGGUAGUAGCAUGGCCCCCAUCAGCCACCCACCUCCGAGCUUUCCCUUGGGCUGAACUGGCAGGCCCCUUUGAAGUACCGUUAACCACCUACACCACCAUCAAAAUAAAGGAAAAAUUUUCCCAGAUUCAUGCGAGCUACAGCAAACUGCACUGAGACAGUUGGAAGACCACCCCUACAGGUGACGUGAAACAGGUCAGACACAGACCCAGCAUCCCUUUGCACCAGUCGUUCAAACCCUGGCGACACUAACUAAUCAAUUCAAUUGCUAGUUAUGCCAACAUGCAGAUCAUACAAAGGAACCUGAACUCAUUUUUGUUGCUGCCAAUGUGAGUGCCUGGUGGGACUGGUCUGGAAGAUGGAGGUAUGACAAGCAGUGGCAUCCACAGCCAAAGAAAACAUAUUAUGGUACUUCUCCUGUUGGUGAGUUAACUGAACACAGAAAAAGUGUCUUUUUCUCAGGUAAAGUCACUAGAAAGAAAAUUUUUAUCUCUUCUGGGUGAAAUUCUAGGGCAAUAUUGUGAUCAAACCCUAUGAUUUGAUUCCACAGAUGACAUUCUUGCACCUCUUAGAUCAUGCUGACACUAACCCUCAUGAUGUCAAUACUUGUUAAAUAAUCAGAUGUUAUGGACGGCUCACAAGCCAGGCCUCUGCAACUUGGGGUAGCUCCCUUGCUCCUCUUGUUAAGUUGACAGACACUAAUGAUUACAUAUGGACAGAUGAAAAGUCUGGACUGACUUGGUUUGGUGACAAAACCAAGCCCUGUAACUGCCAGAACUGGACCAAAGGCCUUUUGUAUCAAAUAUUUCACAACCUGUUUUGUUCUCACAGACUGGCAGGGACACAUGGAGAUGAAACUGUCCAUAU